GGAGCUCCGAAUUUCGUGGAAAAAGUUCCGGUUUUUGUUCAUCAGCAUCUUCCACCACGUGCUGCUGGAAUUGUAAGAGUCAGGGGCCGUUUCUGAUUUGUCAAUCUUGUGGGAGCAUUCAACCUGUCGAUCAUUCAGUUGAUUACUUCAACAUUUUUGGGCUGUAAGCGUUUAAAAUGCCCUAAUACGCGUUUCUCUGAUCAAAAUUUUGAUAAACAAACUUGGAAUUUAUUUGAAUUGUUUAUAUAUGAUUCCUGAGUAAUCACCUGUUCGAAGUUCAUCGGAUUUUCGCAAUUUUCUUAGGGUUUUAGACUCCAUUAAUUAAUAUCUUCAUAUGACAGAGAUCGGAAGUUCGACAUUGAAGUUGGAAGCUUGGAAGGGAAG
Molecule: long non-coding RNA, 384 nt
Filed under: Lactuca sativa (garden lettuce)
Lineage: Eukaryota; Viridiplantae; Streptophyta; Magnoliopsida; Asterales; Asteraceae
Description: long non-coding RNA (LSAT_LNC006372)
Source: RNAcentral